UCUCUCAGUAGGAGCCGGACAAGGACCCGAGUCAAGAGCCUGUUCUUCCAGCCCUCCCGAAAUGCUUUCUCAAAUGAGAAUUAAGCAAAGAGAUUCAACUCAGCCUAUCUGGAGAAAACUGUGAGCAUUCAGCGUGCAAAUUAAUACACAGUGACAGCAUGUACAGACUCUUGGCCAUUGUGGGGAAAACACAGACACCACAGAUUCCAGACCCUAAGAUCUUCACGAAUUAUGUCUCCAGAGAGAAGCUCACUAAAUCCCCAAUUCUUCAUGAAUUCACAAUAUCAUGAAGAAAGUCUGACGUCUUGUGCCAGAUGCAACAGUCAAGGCAGAAAACCAAGAUCAUCUUCCCAAGGUCUGAGCUACCGAGUAUCAGAGCCAGAAGAGGAGCCAGGCAGGCAUGGUUCCAAGGUCGCUUCCCUGUGAGACUCCACCUUUCUACUUCACUGACCAAUGAUCCGGGAGGGAAGUGCCUGUGAUGAAGAGUGGCCCAUUCCUUGUUCAGAGCUUCAGUGUGGACAUUGCUGUCACUCCCCUGUUAGGGUUGUCACAUAGGGACUUCAGUGGGGAAGAGCAUGUCCCACAUUUACUUCCUCUUCCUAUGUUGACAGGAACAUAAAAGAGUUAACAGAGCAGUGAGUUCAUUCUCACCAGGUCUCUGCAGGCUGAAAGGCUGUGAGCCAGG
RNAcentral lists this long non-coding RNA (685 nucleotides) under Heterocephalus glaber (naked mole-rat). RNAcentral describes it as "lncRNA (ENSHGLG00000042189.1)". Lineage: Eukaryota; Metazoa; Chordata; Mammalia; Rodentia; Bathyergidae. The record is from RNAcentral.